Molecule: ribosomal RNA, 497 nt
Filed under: uncultured bacterium
Lineage: Bacteria
Description: partial 16S ribosomal RNA
Rfam family: Bacterial small subunit ribosomal RNA
Source: RNAcentral
GAUGAACGCUGGCGGCGUGCCUAAUACAUGCAAGUCGAGCGAACGGACGAGAAGCUUGCUUUUCUGAUGUUAUCGGCGGACGGGUGAGUAACACGUGGAUAACCUACCUAUAAGACUGGGAUAACUUCGGGAAACCGGAGCUAAUACCGGAUAAUAUUUUGAACCUCAUGGUUCAAAAGUUAAAGACGGUCUUGCUGUCACUUAUAGAUUGAUCCGCGCUGCAUUAGCUAGUUGGUAAGGUAACGGCUUACCAAGGCAACGAUGCAUAGCCGACCUGAGAGGGUGGUCGGCUAGACUGGAACUGAGAAACGGUCCAGACUCCUACGGGAGGAAGCAGUAGGGAAUCUUCCGCAAUGGGCGAAAGCCUGACGGAGCAAAGCCGCGUGAGUGAUGAAGGUCUUAGGAUCGUAAAACUCUGUUAUUAGGGAAGAACAUAUGUGUAAGUAACUGUGAACAUAUUGACGGUACCUAAUCAGAAAGCCACGGCUAACUACGUG